CGAGCAACUUGGUUAAGCUACUAAGAGCACACGGAGGAUGCCUAGGCGCUAGGAGCCGAAGAAGGACGUGGCGAACAACGAAACUGCCUCGGGGAGCUGUAAGCAAGCAUCGAUCCGGGGGUGUCCGAAUGGGGAAACCCGGCUGGAGUAAUAUCCAGUCACUCGUAUCUGAAUUCAUAGGAUGCGAAGAGGCAUACCAGGGGAACUGAAACAUCUAAGUACCCUGAGGAAGAGAAAACAAAAGUGAUUCCGUCAGUAGCGGCGAGCGAACGCGGAUUAGCCUAAACCGAAGAGCUUGCUCUUCGGGGUUGUGGGACGUCUCACAUGGAGUUACAAAGGUUCAGAUUAGACGAAGAGGUCUGGAAAGGCCCGCCAAAGAAGGUAAAAGCCCUGUAAUCGAAAGUGUGAACCCUCCGAGACGGAUCCCGAGUAGUGCGGGGCACGUGAAACCCCGUAUGAAUCUGCCAGGACCAUCUGGUAAGGCUAAAUACUCCCUAGUGACCGAUAGUGAAGCAGUACCGUGAGGGAAAGGUGAAAAGCACCCCGGAAGGG
Molecule: ribosomal RNA, 552 nt
Filed under: Salmonella enterica subsp. enterica serovar Muenchen
Lineage: Bacteria; Pseudomonadati; Pseudomonadota; Gammaproteobacteria; Enterobacterales; Enterobacteriaceae
Description: partial 23S ribosomal RNA
Rfam family: Bacterial large subunit ribosomal RNA
Source: RNAcentral